UGGCAAAUGGAAUGUCGUAUAAAGGCCAAAAAAUCCCUCAGCUGGUGAUCAGAACAUCAUGAAGUUCUUACCAAUUAUAAUCGGCCUGAUUGCCUUAGUCUGCAUCUCAACACCCGCCACAGCAGAACCGGCUCGUGGCAACUCUCGUGUGGGAAAACGUCAGGGCUGAAGAUGGAACCGUAAAAAACAAGAGCUAAGAAAAUGAUGGAAAAAAUAUAUGUACUUUUUUAAAUUGAA
Molecule: long non-coding RNA, 237 nt
Organism: Musca domestica (house fly)
Lineage: Eukaryota; Metazoa; Arthropoda; Insecta; Diptera; Muscidae
Exons: 2
Source: RefSeq, a predicted model, not a curated record